RNAcentral lists this ribosomal RNA (468 nucleotides) under uncultured bacterium. RNAcentral describes it as "partial 16S ribosomal RNA". It matches the Rfam family "Bacterial small subunit ribosomal RNA", at positions 28 to 507 of the family's 1533-position model. The record is from RNAcentral.
GACGAACGCUGGCGGCGUGCUUAACACAUGCAAGUCGAACGGAAAGGCCCUGCUUUUGUGGGGUGCUCGAGUGGCGAACGGGUGAGUAACACGUGAGUAACCUGUCCUUGACUUUGGGAUAACUUCAGGAAACUGGGGCUAAUACCGGAUAGGAGCUCCUGCUGCAUGGUGGGGGUUGGAAAGUUUCGGCGGUUGGGGAUGGACUCGCGGCUUAUCAGCUUGUUGGUGGGGUAGUGGCUUACCAAGGCUUUGACGGGUAGCCGGCCUGAGAGGGUGACCGGCCACAUUGGGACUGAGAUACGGCCCAGACUCCUACGGGAGGCAGCAGUGGGAAAUAUUGCACAAUGGGCGGAAGCCUGAUGCAGCAACGCCGCGUGCGGGAUGACGGCCUUCGGGUUGUAAACCGCUUUCGCCUGUGACGAAGCGUGAGUGACGGUAAUGAGUAAAGAAGCACCGGCUAACUACGUG